UUGUGAACUAGGAAUCUUCCCUUUUCUGUCUACUGGGAGAGUUUACAUUCAGAUUUUAAAAAAAUAAAGGGUAAGUUAAAAUGUCAAACACUAGUCAUGGAGAAGGGGGGGGGGGGGUCUGAUGAAAUUUCCUGUCAUUAGGGGUAGAGAAUUAGUUUCUGGAUACAAUGAUGUUGUAGGCAGGGCGUAUCCAAAUCUGGAUAAAGCAGCUUUAUGCAAUUGCCUCAAGUGAUGGUAUUUGAUACAAUCCAAUGUAAUGGAAUAGAAUAUUUUUGAACUAGAAAUUCUUUAGGAACUUGAAAAUUUGGAAUGACAAGGGGAAAGGUAAUGUGGGUUUCCUAUAAGAUCCUUAUAUGACUGCUAGCUGGUCAGAAGUCACAUGUCUGUACAAUGCAAAUUUUCCACUAAGUUAUGGAAUAUAAUGUUGCAUUUGAGGGACAUUUGGUGGACCAUGCAAAAUUCA
RNAcentral lists this long non-coding RNA (463 nucleotides) under Nicotiana benthamiana. RNAcentral describes it as "long non-coding RNA (NBEN_LNC042023)". Lineage: Eukaryota; Viridiplantae; Streptophyta; Magnoliopsida; Solanales; Solanaceae. The record is from RNAcentral.